UACGGAGGGUGCAAGCGUUAUCCGGAUUCACUGGGUUUAAAGGGUGCGUAGGAGGGUAGGUAAGUCAGUGGUGAAAUCUUCGAGCUUAACUCGGAAACUGCGGUUGAUACUAUCUAUCUUGAAUACCGCGGAGGUGAGCGGAAUAUGUCAUGUAGCGGUGAAAUGCUUAGAUAUGACAUAGAACACCAAUGGCGAAGGCAGCUCGCUACACGAAUAUUGACGCUGAGGCACGAAAGCGUGGGGAUCAAACAGG
This 253-nucleotide ribosomal RNA is filed under the name uncultured bacterium. Its description in RNAcentral is "partial 16S ribosomal RNA". It matches the Rfam family "Bacterial small subunit ribosomal RNA", at positions 524 to 776 of the family's 1533-position model. The record is from RNAcentral.